UAGAGUUUGAUCCUGGCUCAGGACGAACGCUGGCGGCGUGCUUAACACAUGCAAGUCGAGCGGAUGAGAGGAGCUUGCUCCUGGAUUCAGCGGCGGACGGGUGAGUAAUGCCUAGGAAUCUGCCUGGUAGUGGGGGACAACGUUUCGAAAGGAACGCUAAUACCGCAUACGUCCUACGGGAGAAAGCAGGGGACCUUAGGGCCUUGCGCUAUCAGAUGAGCCUAGGUCGGAUUAGCUAGUUGGUGAGGUAAUGGCUCACCAAGGCGACGAUCCGUAACUGGUCUGAGAGGAUGAUCAGUCACACUGGAACUGAGACACGGUCCAGACUCCUACGGGAGGCAGCAGUGGGGAAUAUUGGACAAUGGGCGAAAGCCUGAUCCAGCCAUGCCGCGUGUGUGAAGAAGGUCUUCGGAUUGUAAAGCACUUUAAGUUGGGAGGAAGGGCAGUAACUUAAUACGUUGCUGUUUUGACGUUACCGACAGAAUAAGCACCGGCUAACUCUGUGCCAGCAGCCGCGGUAAUGUCGGCCC
RNAcentral lists this ribosomal RNA (530 nucleotides) under uncultured bacterium. Its description in RNAcentral is "bacterial SSU rRNA". It matches the Rfam family "Bacterial small subunit ribosomal RNA", at positions 1 to 532 of the family's 1533-position model. The record is from RNAcentral.